RNAcentral lists this ribosomal RNA (283 nucleotides) under uncultured Thermus sp. Its description in RNAcentral is "partial 16S ribosomal RNA". It matches the Rfam family "Bacterial small subunit ribosomal RNA", at positions 1096 to 1382 of the family's 1533-position model. Lineage: Bacteria; Thermotogati; Deinococcota; Deinococci; Thermales; Thermaceae. The record is from RNAcentral.
GCGCAACCCCGCGUUAGUUGCCAGCGGUUCGGCCGGGCACGUCUAACGGGACUGCCCGCGAAAGCGGGAGGAAGAGGGGACGACGUCUGGUCAGCAUGGCCCUUACGGCCUGGGCGACACACGUGCUACAAUGCCCACUACAAAGCGAGGCCACCCGGCAACGGGAGCUAAUCGCAAAAAGGUGGGCCCAGUUCGGAUUGGGGUCUGCAACCCGACCCCAUGAAGCCGGAAUCGCUAGUAAUCGCGGAUCAGCCAUGCCGCGGUGAAUACGUUCCCGGGCCUU